Molecule: ribosomal RNA, 406 nt
Filed under: uncultured bacterium
Lineage: Bacteria
Description: partial 16S ribosomal RNA
Rfam family: Bacterial small subunit ribosomal RNA
Source: RNAcentral
GAUGAACGCUAGCUACAGGCUUAACACAUGCAAGUCGAGGGACCGGCGCACGGGUGAGUAACACGUAUCCAACCUGCCCUUUACUCGGGGAUAGCCUUUCGAAAGAAAGAUUAAUACCCGAUAUAAAGGAUGGGGAUGCGUUCCAUUAGGUUGUUGGUGAGGUAACGGCCCACCAAGCCUUCGAUGGAUAGGGGUUCUGAGAGGAAGGUCACCCGCAGUGGAAGUGAGACCCGGGCCAAACGCCUACGGGAGGCAGCAGAGAGGAAUAUUGGUCAAGGGGCGGUAGCCUGAACCAGCCGAGUAGCGUGAAGGAUGAAGGCUUAUGGGUCUUAUACUUCUUUUAUAUAAGAAUAUGUAUUAUAUGAAUAAGGAUCGGCUAACUCCGUGCCAGCAGCCGCGGUAAUAC